CUAAGUUCUCCGUCUUCGCCGCCGCCGGUAACUCCCCGGAGUCCAAUUCAACCCUUUCGAAUUCCGGGUCGAAAUCACUGUUCGUCAAGCAAGAACCCCUAGAUUCCGAAUGUAACCACAACUCAUCUCCGGCGACUUCCAAUCCACUAGUCCAUCAGAAAUCAACAAAGAGAAAGGAACGCGAGAAAAAGGUAAUUUCAACACCCCAUGACGAAGCCAGAAUUUUCAUUUUCUCUGGUAGUAAAGUAAACACAUGAACUAGCCGAAGGCCUAAAGAAUAGUGUUAACUAUGUAUAAAUAGUAUAAUUUUCCGAUGAAUGAUACUAAUUUCAGUACAAUUUAUGUGAAAUUCAGGUAAAAGAAACUUCUAAAAAGGGGAAAAAAUCAGCUAACGAUACCUCAGAAGACGGCGGCGAGAAGCUACCAUAUGUUCACGUCCGAGCGCGUCGAGGCCAAGCCACUGAUAGCCAUAGUUUAGCAGAAAGAGUAAGAUUAAGAGCUUCUAAUGUUUUGCUAAACAUGGUAAUUAGUAAUU
RNAcentral lists this long non-coding RNA (535 nucleotides) under Solanum lycopersicum (tomato). Its description in RNAcentral is "long non-coding RNA (SLYC_LNC000822)". The record is from RNAcentral. Lineage: Eukaryota; Viridiplantae; Streptophyta; Magnoliopsida; Solanales; Solanaceae.